Molecule: small RNA, 754 nt
Filed under: Plagiopus oederianus
Lineage: Eukaryota; Viridiplantae; Streptophyta; Bryopsida; Bartramiales; Bartramiaceae
Description: eukaryotic LSU rRNA
Rfam family: 5.8S ribosomal RNA (bases 328-480)
Source: RNAcentral
UCAUUGCACACACAUGAAUGUUGCAGCAAACCUCGGUUUUGGCGAACCUCUGAACUGUCCCUCCGAACUUGGAACCCGGUGGCGGGCUUCCUCUCUCCUUCUUCGGGGGUUCGCUCCUUCGCUUCUCCCUUUGUCUUCGGGCGGGGGAGGUGGGGGAGCGGCCCGAUUGGAGUAGCGGGGGGUUCCGCACCCGGCGACCAAGUGAAACCAACCGCUCUCGCGAGCGGAUGGCGCAAUGCAUCGACGCUUUGACCCAUGACUGAGUCCCUAAAUACUUUGGGAGGAGCCCUCGCCGGCUCUCCCCCGAGUUGUGAAAUAACCAAAAACAACUCUCAGCAACGGAUAUCUUGGCUCUUGCAACGAUGAAGAACGCAGCGAAAUGCGAUACGUAGUGUGAAUUGCAGAAUUCCGCGAAUCAUCGAGUCUUUGAACGCAAGUUGCGCCCGAGGCUUGUCCGAGGGCAUUUCCGCUAGAGCGUCACCGCGCUCCCCCACCGAUCCACCUCGACCGAGAGUGUUUUCGCGUGGAAGUGGUCGUCCCGACGCCGGGCGGCGGUGUACUCCACCGUCGUCGAUCGGGUCGGCUGAAAUGGAGAGAAUUGGACCGCCGUGGCGACGGAGCCCGCGAUCAGGUGAUCCGAGCGCAAGCCCGGAACUCAAACGCGCGAGGCUGCGUCGCCCAGUUGGAUUCUAUACUGUGAAAGCAGGUCUGCGCGUCCGUCCUUCGGGUGGACGCGCGCACGUCACGCAUCAGA